Molecule: non-coding RNA, 29 nt
Filed under: Homo sapiens (human)
Lineage: Eukaryota; Metazoa; Chordata; Mammalia; Primates; Hominidae
Source: RNAcentral
UGUGAAAUGAUCAUGUCCUACUUAUUACA